Molecule: ribosomal RNA, 337 nt
Filed under: Salmonella enterica subsp. enterica serovar Heidelberg
Lineage: Bacteria; Pseudomonadati; Pseudomonadota; Gammaproteobacteria; Enterobacterales; Enterobacteriaceae
Description: bacterial SSU rRNA
Rfam family: Bacterial small subunit ribosomal RNA
Source: RNAcentral
GUUAAAACUCAAAUGAAUUGACGGGGGCCCGCACAAGCGGUGGAGCAUGUGGUUUAAUUCGAUGCAACGCGAAGAACCUUACCUGGUCUUGACAUCCACGGAAGUUUUCAGAGAUGAGAAUGUGCCUUCGGGAACCGUGAGACAGGUGCUGCAUGGCUGUCGUCAGCUCGUGUUGUGAAAUGUUGGGUUAAGUCCCGCAACGAGCGCAACCCUUAUCCUUUGUUGCCAGCGGUCCGGCCGGGAACUCAAAGGAGACUGCCAGUGAUAAACUGGAGGAAGGUGGGGAUGACGUCAAGUCAUCAUGGCCCUUACGACCAGGGCUACACACGUGCUACAA